ACGAAACUAACUAUUGUGAUUUUAAUGUCAACCUGAAGCAAAAUAGUUUCAAAUAUAUCCUCUAUAUAUAUAUAUAGUAAAUCCUUUUCGUCAUUGCAGGAGCCAGGAACUUCUUGCACCGUGGGCGGGGAGUCGAUUACAAAUUCCGACCAAGUUCAUUAUAGGCGACCUGGACCUGGUUUAUCAUAUGCCAGGGGUGAAAGAAUACAUACACAAAGGUGGGUUCAAAAGAGAUGUGCCAUUGUUGGAGGAAGUAGUGAUAAUGGAAGGAGUUGGGCACUUCAUUAAUCAAGAAAAGGGUGAUGAGAUUAGCAAGCACAUUUAUGACUUCUUCAACAAGUUCUGAUUAGUUCUUUGCAUCUUCAUUCAUAUUUCCGCUUGGGUGUCUUUUUGUUUUAAUAAAGUUGCUGGGAUGUUCUUGUGCCGGCCUGUUCUAGUUUUUGAUUCACUAUAUACCAAGCUAUUAGUGGCUUCGACUUGUAAUUUCCGUAUUGUUGGAACAAUCAAAUAAUUUAGAGUGCCUUUGGUAUAUAAAGUUAUCUAAUAUAUAGAUAUUGAUAAAAGAAAUAUAUAUAAUUUCACAAACUAGUACAUGUAUUUAUAUAGUGUUAUAUAAAGUCAUCUUAAAAGUUUAAUAUUUGCAUUCUCUUUAAUUUUUUUUCUCAAUGUAAAUUCUAUAAAUAUUGUAUAAUAUACAAAUCAUUAUCCCAAACAAUCAUUAAAAAAAAAAUUGUUUCAUCAUGAAUUUUUAAAGCAGCAUAGCAUAUAUUGUUUAAAAUAUGGAAAUAAUUGUUACUAUGUAGAGCUAAGUUUCGUAAGAUAGUAUCUAGAAAAAAUUAAUCACUUAUUAUAAUGUUUACUUCAAUCUUAUUUAUAAUUUAAUCAAAUUAGGACUAAAUUUUUUUAUAACUAUAUAGAGAUUAUUCUUAUAUAGAGUACUACUAUAAUGAAAUUUUACUAUAAAGUAAAAUAUAUGUAAGCCCAUCUUUUGGUCUUAUUUAAUUUGUAUUAAAGUUUUAAAUGAAAAGAAGAAACGUGAGGACUAUGAUAAUUAUUAUGGAAAUAAAACAAAAAAGUUGAGCCCAAGUUUAAUUUACAAUGGAAGAAUACGAGAAAUAACAAAAAGGUUGUUUUCUACUCUUGUUCACAAAUUGUGCAUUUACUUCUUGCAUUAGAGAAUUGGAAUUAUUAACAAGUUUAUUUCACAAAAUGAGAGCGGAAAUCAGAAUACUCACCCCAAUUUGGGAAUGAAAAUUCUCAGGGGAUGGGAAUUAGAAUUAGAAAAAAACCCAGAUUAGGUUGGAGGCUUAAAGCCCCGGCACGCAUAGAUUGAGCCUAAAUAUGGGCCGCAAAAUUUAAAGUCCGCACAAGUUGGGUUAUGUCAUAAGAUGCCUUACAUAACAUUUUUUUUUUUACUGACCAUAAAAAUACCAAAUACCCUUUAUUCUUUUCUCAAAUUUUCAAUCAACCUCGUAGGGUUAUGAUGAAAUCAAUACAUGCUUAAUUGUGGGGAUGUCAAUGGCCAAAUCGGGCUAGGGCUAUGAGUCAGGGUCACCUCGAAAAUUUUGUGUACAUUUUGCUUGAAAUGCAGUUGCAGUGGAGUGGACAUCAUAAGAUCAAGCACUUCCUGGCCUUCGGCGUUUUUCAAUAUCAAAGUGUACAUCCAGGAGACCCGUUAUACCAGCUGUUAUCUUUUGACCAACUUUUACAGGGCCAACGCCCUGUGGAGUGCCUGCACAAACCGAAUCAAUAGAACAAUGUCAAACUUCAAUUAUCCAUAAAGACUUGCAUCCAAAACUGGGAGUGGAUUUGAAUAUGAUUAUGAAAAUUGGCGAGAAGGAUAUCUUAUGAAGUGAACACAGUAAAUAACAAUAAUGACACUAAUAACGUAACUUAUACACAGUGACAAUACACCUUCAUAAGCAUAAUAAGCUCUAACAUAUCAGUUAUCAGUAUUUAUACCAAGUAAAAUUGCGCGUAUAUGCUUCACCAAAGCAAAAAUGAAAUUUGGUAACAGAUUCCACUAUCAACUGAUAUGCCAGUUUAUGCCAAGACAUCAUAAUAUCUUGAAGCACCUAGAAAAAUUAACUUAUAAAGUAUGCUAGUGUUUUUAUUUGAAGGAAAAUGAACUGCAAUACCUGUUAAGUGUUAACAUGACAUCUCCUUGAACAAGUGUCACAAUUGAACUUAUGUGGCUAAUUAGAUAUGGUAUCUUAAAAAUCAUAUCCUUUGUGAAGCCUUUCUGUCGAAUCUCUCCAUCAACCUGCAGUGAAACACAUUUAAAGUUAAUCCACCCAGUGAAAAACAAAUUUGAAGCUUUGACAAAAGCCAUAAAGAAAUAUGAGAGUAAAGAGUAAUGAUUAUGAACCUUUAACCAUAGUUCUAAGUUGUGAGGGUCAGGCACUGCUGACUUUGGUAGCUGCAAAUAUAUUUUAAACAAGUCAAAAAGGAGUGUAUUUAGUAAACACAGAACAAAAUUGGCAACAGAAAAUAAAAUUCUCUUCCUCUCUUCUUUUCUACUAGCAGAUACAAGUAAAGGGUGCACCAAGCGAAGGAUAGAUGGUAAACCCUUGUCUGCUUUGAAAGAAAAAGACCAAUUUUCUUUUUCAAACUUCGACAAACAAGGUAUAGUUGUCAUUUUGAAGCACAAUUAUUUUGUUUUCCAUAACCUAUCCCAAUACCACAUUGGUGCUGUGAAUGGCCAAACAAAGAACUGGUGCAAAGAGUAAACCAAACUGUUUAAAAUUAAUUUUUCAAUAUUGAGCCUGAAAAUUGAGUACAACACAGCAUAGUUUCAGCAGAGAUAGAAACAUCAAAGUACUUCUUUCAGUUUCUUUCGAAAGAGCUAAUUGGUGUGAAGGUGUCCUGCCCUUUAGCCACUGGCCAUGGAAGACAUGCAGACGGACACAAUGGACAAAAAAUAAAUGAUAAGAAAAUACAGCAUUAUAAAUUGGAUGAAAUAAGAUAACUUAAUGUGGUCAUACACUUAUUGUUUCAUAAUGAAGCGCACAAGUAGUAUCCAAUCUUCUGAUUAUAAGUUGGUGUUGUUUCAGAAUACAAUUGAAUAAUACUUGAUCCUCAUGUUCAACAGCAUAACACAUUACAAAGGAAUAAACCCAUCUUCUCUCAUAGGCAUAAAUUCUCUCCAAAUCCAAAAGAAAAAAAAAUGUGUUAUUUAAUCGCCACGAAACACAACCGCAAAUAUUAGACAUUGAUUCGGAACCUGUCUAAUUACAUUACAAAACUUCCAAUUUGAGUAUUCUUUAAAUAUCUGAAAGAUUAAAAUUUAUCUAAAUAAUAAUCUCAUUAGCUGUUAUUAGAAAAUGUUGGGAUCCGGUUAUAAGAUUAUCCCCUUAGCGAUUCGGUUGUUAUUAUUCCAAUCCUCAAAAUUUCACCCAAAUUUGGUUAAGAAAUUGCUGAUAAGUCAUUUAAGGUGAUAUUUCCCGCUGCACUUUUUCAAUUGCAAGUGGUACGAGAGUAGACAGAUACCGAUCACCAGAAUCUUGGGUCGAGUGACUUAUCUCCUUAACGAAUUCUUCAUGUUCAGGACCUCGCUGCGAACUGAAAAUUUGGUAAAUGAAGCAAAAUCUAAGUUAAAAUGAUCUGCUUUAGAAUUUAAGGUUUCUUCAAAACCAAGGCGGAACGUUAGCAAAAAAUGUGCAUUUCUUUUCCUAACUAGAAGAUCUUGUACUGAUAUGAAUGACUUGCCUCGUUUACUUAUUUCUUAUUGGCUCAAAUAAGCUUUGACCAGCAAGCAUGAAGAAAGUUGAACAACAGCCAGUGAAGUAAGUUGUAUUAUCAUCUGGUGAAUCUGUUUUAGCCUGCUGCUGCACACGAGUAAUUUGAUAUGAUAACAAUUUAAAACUACAAUGCAAUAUGGAAACAGAAGUUUUAAGGGGCACUAACAGCUUGCAUUUGGUAACUUUGUGCUGUUGAUGGCUCAGAGUUCCCACGACUUCUUCUCUCAUUCACAAGAAGAAGUGCACAUUUUCUUGUAAAGAACAGAAGCAGCACUCUCACAAAAAACGUAAUAAAGAAUUCGACGAUAAUGCCUGAUCCUAGAGCUGCAUUUAUAGGAAAAGGUUAGUGAGUACAAAUCUGUGAAAUGGAUAGUAAUCAAAAUGACAACUAUCACUUAUUAUGAACUAACUCUGAACUCAUUGGCCUUCUAGUUUACGGUAGCCUCAACGAAUAAAGGUAAUGACAUUUUCUCAGUACAACCUGGACAGCAACCAUAAUGUCCCAUAUCGUUUAAUUUUACUUUUAAAAGAUCAUGUCCUUCACCACUCUAAAUGCAAAGAACAGAUGGCUAAUUCAAGAUCAUUGAUAUUUUCUUUGUGGUGUGCUCUAUGAUUGUGUUUUCCUUCAAAAUUAUACUAUAAACUUCAAAGCAAAAAAUGCACUUGAUAAAAGAGUUGUUGUGCUCUUUACCAAGCUCUUAUGAGCACCUGGUUGACAUUCUCAUGUAUGGGAGACAGUCCCUCUCGAUGGUGGAUGUGAAAGAGACAUUGAGUUUCAAGGCUGCAACCAAGAAAGAAGCAAGUCAUGGGGAAUGAUUGACAGUUAGAGGGAGGCCAGGAAAGAGAGAAAAUGGUAAAGGAAAGAAGAAAAGAUCCAAGUCCAGACCCAAGAAUAUGAAGUGCUUCCAUUGGCAUAAGGAAGGUCACUUCAAGAAAGACUGUCCAUAGAAGAAUUAUAAAAGCAAAGAAACAAAAGAGAAGAUUGGUGAUGCUGUUGUUGUAUCAGAAGGACAAGAAUCUGAUGGUUAUGACUCUACUGGAGUUCUCAUAGUCUCUGAUGGUGCAUUUAGAGGUAAUUGGGUAUUAGAUUAUGGUUGUUCAUUUCAUAUGUGCCCUAAUAAAACCUUCUUUAAGAACUAUGAAACCUAUGAUGAAGGGAUAGUUGUAAUGAGAAAUGAUGCUAGUUGUAGGGUAAUUGGCAGGGGCACCAUUAAACUGAAAAUGCUUAAUGGCACAAUAAGAAAAUUAACAAAUGUUAGACAUGUCCCUGAUUUAAAGAGAAACUUGAUUUCUCUCAGCAUGCUUGACAAAAUGGGGUGUGUUAUCAAGCUCGAGUCAGGUACUUUAAAGGUGUUGAAAGGGUCUAUGGUGUUGAUGAAAGGAAACUUAGACAAUGGCCUGUAUGUGCGCCAGAGGUCUGUAGUCACAGGAGAUGUUGGAGUUUCAAACCAGAAUCUAAACAAAACUUUAUUGUGGCGCUUUAGAUUAGGCCAUAUGAGUGAGAGAGGCUUGAGAGAACUAUCAAAACAAGGAGUCUUAGGUGAAGAUAAAAUAGAGCCCUUGGAAUUUUGUGAGGAGUGUGUCCUAGGCAAAUCCUCAAGAGUUAAAUUCAGCACUGGUGCACAUAUUUCAAGAGGAACUCUAGAAUACAUACAUGCUGAUCUGUGGGGACCUGCACAGAUAGCAUCCUUAGGAGGGGCAAGGUACUUUCUAUCUUUAAUUGAUGACCAUUCCAGAAUGGUUUGGGUGUAUGUGCUGAAAAACAAAGAUGAAGUGUUAAGAAUUCAAAAACUGAAAAACAUUGAUUGAAACUCAGACCAACAGGAAGGUUAAGAAACUCAGAACUGAUACUGGUUUAGAAUUCUGCAACAAGAGGUUUGAAUAUUUUUAGAGCAAGCAUGGAGUCAUGAGGCACAGAACAGUAAGAUAUAUAUCUCAGCAAAAUAGAUUAGCUGAGAGGAUGAACAGAACCUUAGUUAAUAAAGUAAGGUGUAUGCUCAUUUAUUAUAAGCUACCCAUGUCCUUGUGGGCUGAGGCUCUAUCAACAACUUGUCACAUUGUGAACAGAAGCCCUUCAACUGGAAUUAACUUCAAAACACUAUUUGAAUUUUGGUAUGGUAAACCAGCAGAUUAUUCCAGUUUAAAGAUCUUUGGCUGUCCAGCAUAUGCUCACAUCAAACAAGGAAAAUUAGAGCCCAGGGCAUUGAAGUGUGUAUUUCUUGGUUACCUUGAAGGGGUAAAAUGGUAUAAACUAUGGUGCACAUACAUGAAACCUCCAAAAGCAAUCAUAAGCAGAUAUAUAGUAUUUAAUGAAGCUGAGAUGCUCCAACACUCAGUAUCUUUAAAGACUACAAAUGUAGAACUGGAAGAUAAAGAUGAGAGAUCUUAUCUUGAGGUGGAGCUGUCAAACUCAAACCAGAAACAGAAAUCAAGAUCAGAGGCUGGAGAUGUAAUAGACAUGGAAAUACAUGAUACUGAGAAUGAAACAGCAAGUGAUCAGGGGAGAAGUGAAGAUUAUCAGUUAGUGAUGGACAAAGGAAAGAGAGUAAUAAAACCUCCUAGAAGAUAUGCAUAUGCAGAUCUAAUUUCAUUUGCAUUAACAGCAGUGCAUGAAAUAGCAACAGAUGAACCUAGAACAUAUUCAGAAGCUAUUAACAGUGAUAAGGCAGAAGAAUGGAUCAAGGCUAUGGAUGAGGAAAUGAUGUCUUUGAAAAAGAAUCACACCUGGAAUCUCAUUGAAAGACUAGCAAACAAGAAGGUAGUAGGGUGCAAAUGGAUCUACAGGAUAAAGGAAAGAAUACCAGAUGUUGAGCCACAAAGAUACAAAGCCAGGUUGGUUGUAAAAGGCUUCACUCAGAAAGAGGGGGUUGACUUUACAGAAGUUUUCUCCCCAGUGGUGAGAUAUGCUUCCGUGAGGAUCCUGUUAUCUCUAGUGGUUGUACAAGACAUGCAUCUUGAACAGAUGGAUGUGAAGACUGCCUUCCUGUAUGGUGAAAUAGAUGAGAUGAUAGUGAUGUCACAACCUGAAGGGUAUGAGGAUCCAGAAAAGGCUGAUCAUGUAUGUCAUCUAAAGAAGUCAUUAUAUGGACUAAAACAGUCUCCAAGACUGUGGUACCUAAGAUUUGACAGGUUUAUGUCAGAUCAUGGUUUUCAAAGGAGCAGUUUUGACUGCUGUGUCUACUUUAAAACCAUAAAAGAUGGUGACAAGAUCUACCUACUGCUCUAUGUAGACGACAUGUUAAUAGCUUGUAAUGAAAUGGAGUUCAUAAAUGAAUUGAAACAGCAGCUGAGCAAUUCAUUUGAGAUGAAGGAUCUGGGUGCUGCAAAGAAGAUCCUUGGUGUUCAGCUGAAGAGAGACAGAAAGAAUGGUAUCCUAAGCCUAACACAACAAAAAUACAUCAGGAAAGUACUUGAGAAAUUCAAUAUAGAUAAAUGUAAACCAGUACAGACUCCAUUGCCCUUUCAUUUCAGACUGUCCUGUCAACAGUAUCCAAACUCUGAUGCUGAUAAAGCUGAAAUGAAUAAAUUUCCAUAUUCAAGUACUAUUGGAUGUUUGAUGUACGCAAUAGUCCUGACUAGGCCUAAUCUCUCUCAUGCAGUGAGCGUAGUAAGCAAGUAUAUGGCAAACCCAAGGAAAGAUCAUUGGAGGGUUGUAGUAUGGAUCUUCAGAUACCUUGCUGGUACAACUUAUUAUGGUUUGAUCUAUGGAGCUGAGAAAUAUGCAGAGGUUAGUGUGGAGGGUUAUGUAGAUGCAGAUUAUGCUGGAGAUCUGGAUAAAAGAAGGUCUUUAACAAGUUUUCUGUUUAUGCGUAAUGGUUGCACCAUAAACUGGAAGGCUUCACUGCAGAGUGUUGUUGCUCUGUCAACAACUGAGGCAGAAUAUACAACAGCUGCAGAAGCAAUCAAAGAAGCUAUUUGGCUCAGAGGGAUGGUGACAGAAUUGGGAUUUGAACAAAAACAAAUUACAGUUCAUUGUGACAGCCAAAGUGCUAUAUGUCUGAGCAAGAACCAGAUACAUCACGAAAAGACCAAGCAUUUUGAUAUCAAGCUUUACUUUGUCAGAUUGGAAAUAUCAAAGGGUGUGAUUAAGCUGGCUAAAAUACACACUGAUAGCAACAUUGCUGACAUGCUCACCAAAGCUGUACCAGGAGCUAAGCUUGAGUUCUGCUUGAACUCAGCUGACAUCUGCAGGGUAUAGACUGCAGAAAAGAAGUGGAAUGAUGAAUCUGAAGAAUGGAUGAUUUGAGUUCAAGGUGAAGAAUGUUGAAUAUGAACUACAAAUCAGUUUAUAGUUAAGUGCGACAAGUCGGUUGAAGAUUUGUCAAUACCAUGACAUGCCGGUUGACAAUCCUGAGAAGGGUAUAUGACAAGAAUAUCAUGUCAUCUGUGUGUGCAAAGAAGACAUGUGAUUUCGCAUGUGACUCACUUAAACAAAACGGCUACUUGAACUGUCGUUUUAUUACUUCGAAUAACAAAGAUGAAGACACGUGUGAUGGAGGCUUAUCAAAAGUCUGUUAAGCCGUUAAUUAGUGCGGGAAGCUGCUGAUCUUCGUCACUGAACACAGGGGAAGCUUGCUGGUGAUUGAGAGUCCAUCUUGAUCGAGCAUUGCUUAUAUAUACAACUAGGUAUUCUGGAAUAAGUCAUGUUUUUCAUGUGUGGUUAGCUUCUCUGAAUAAGCUUGUACUUUGUAAGACACUCAUUCAAUACAAACUUGGAUUCAUCCUUUCACAGUGGACGUAGGCUUCCAUAGCCGAACCACUAUAAGCUUUCUUUGGGUUAUUCUUUCUGUUCUUAAAUUCUUUCAUUGUUUUGCUUUGAUUGUUGGAUUGUUUAAGCAUCCUGUAACUGAGUAUAGAUCACCUUAGUUUUAGAUACAAGAACCCUUUUUUGAGUGGGUUUUGGUGUGCAGUUAUCAGUUCUUUACUGGUCUUUGGCACAACAAGAACAAUAUAUUCAGGGACUUGAAUAAAUGGAGAAUCAUUAACUGGAUCCACAAAAACCAAAACCGCCAAAUCAUUUGUCCCAUUCUUGUUCCUGGCAGAGACUAGAAUUGUGUCCUCACCAUAAAAGUUUUUGUUUCUGAACUAAAAAAAUGAAAAAAAAAACGAGUCACUAGUAAGGUAUGAAUAAUGUAAAGCUUGAAAAGUCCAUAAGAGUAUUAAUCCAGGAGGUAAUACACGAGAUAUUAAAUCAUAUCGAGUGAGUGAAUAAUACUGGCUGUCACUUCCUUUGUGAAUGGAUGGCCCCCAUUCAAAAAAAUAUUUGCGCAGAGUACAAGAAUUUUAUAAAUUCCACUCUUUUCAGGAGUAUAAGUAACAUCAAAAGCUCUGGCCUGAACUUUCAGUUUGCCGGAAGACUGGAUUCAAGGGGUUUUUUUUUUUUUAUUUUAAAAAAAGCAUCACUCCAGAAAAUCUUAUGUAUGACUUCUCAAAGAAAAUAUGUGAAUUUGUUUCUUUCAGUGUUAGUUGCGUCGACAGACAGCGAGGGAGCAAUUUCUAUCUGGUCAAUAAUGCCAUUAGUUGGUUCUAUUAAUCUUCCAUUUCUAAAACGAUAGGGCUGAACUCUUCGAUAUGAUAUUAUAUUAUUGUAUGUAGUCAGAUAACAACAAUGUAAUAUUAGCUUUAGACUGCUUAUAAGACUUUUAACUUAGAGAUGUUUCUGUGACUAAUUUAUUAUCACAUACAUUAAUCCGGAUCUGCCGAGCCAUGUCAUGUGGGAAUUAAAAACAGAGAGCAGCACAGCAUACAAGAAAAUAUUCUGAAAUGGUGCCCAAAUUCAACAACCAAUAAACAAGCAAACUUGAAUCUUGUAAUUUUUUUUUUAUUCUUUUAUCUAAUAAGCCGGUGGUGUCUAAUCCAAAUCAUACUUGUCUAUCUCAGUACAGCUGCCCGAGAUGGGCCACAUUGCAAUGCUUUUCAAAAUUUCUCUGAAAUAGUUGUAUUUUCCGACACGUAAUUGAAUGAGUUUCAAUUCAAUUAAAUGAUGAUGUUACAGCUCACGCCCUAAAAAGUAACGUACAAUCAUAGAAAUAAAGACGAGGGAAGAUAAUUUUGGUGCACGUAUCUAUAUGUGGGUGAUGCAAAACGAUUCUCCUAGUCCUCAUCCAAUAAAAUUAUAUUCUUAGAUAAUCCGCUUGGAAAGUCUUCCUUUUCAUUCCUAAUUUUUCCUCUCUUCUAUCCUCUAGCUUUAGUUAGCAACAUAAUAACCCGAAAUCAGAACCUCUAAUUCACUCGUAGGCAGUGUUUUACUUUUGAGGAACUGAAUUAACAUGGAGGGCGUACAACACAGAACUGUUAGGGUGAAUGGUAUUAACAUGCACAUUGCAGAGAAAGGUCAAGGUCCUGUGAUUCUCUUCCUUCACGGCUUUCCUGAGCUCUGGUACUCUUGGCGCCACCAGAUCACCGCCUUGGCUUCCCUUGGCUACAGAGCCGUGGCUCCGGACUUACGUGGGUUCGGUGACACGGAUGCGCCGCCUGACGUUACCAGCUACACAUGUUUCCACGUGAUUGGAGACCUCGUCGGACUCAUCGACACUGUGGCUCCCAAUGAUGAGAAGGUGUUUGUUGUGGGACAUGAUUGGGGUGCGUUCAUGGCAUGGUUCUUAUGUUUGUUUAGACCUGACAGAGUCAAAGCUUUAGUCAACUUGAGUGUCGUUUUUAAUCCUUUUGGUUCUAUCAACAACGUGAUUGAGGCUCUGACGGCUUAUUAUGGUGACAAUUACUACAUGCGCAGAUUUCAGGUAACUCGGAUGUACAUUUCUCAAACGAUAUGGCCGUCUAUUAAAAUUAAUUAAUCUUCCGUGUGUAGUACUUAAAAUUAUUAAGACAUAUGAUUUAAUUAUACUGUUAAAUCAUAUGGCUUAAUAAUUUUUUCAAGUUUUAACAAAUUUAAGAGUCUAAAUUUGGAUAUUUGGGAUAUUUUCAUAUAUGAGCAUUGAUCUCGCUCAAGAUAUUGAAUUUAUUAAAAUUCGAAAAAAUUAUUAAAACAUAUGAUUGGAUAACAUUAUGCUAUUAUAUUAUUAAAUUACAUGGUUUAAUAACUUUUAUAGAUAUUAUACUAUUAAACUGUAUGUUUAAAUAAUUUUCUCAAACUUUAAUAAAUUCAGGAUCAAAGAUUAAAAUAUUUGUGUAUGUGCGCGCGCGCUAUAUAUGAUAUUAUAUUAUAUUAUUGUAUGCAGGAGCCUGGAGAGAUUGAAGCAGAGUUUGCGCAGAUUGGUACUGAGACGGUUAUUAAGGAAUUCUUGACAUUUCGGACUCCGGGUCCGAUUAUUUUGCCUAAAGGCAAAGGAUUUGGGCAUCCACCAGAUGCUCCAAUGGCAUUACCCAGUUGGUUGUCUGAGGAAGAUGUUAAGUAUUUCACCGCCAAAUUUGACAAGAAAGGCUUUACUGGAGGAAUCAACUAUUAUAGAAAUAUUAAUCUGUAAUGCUCCCUUAUUCCUCACUCUCUACAUUUGAUACAUAGCUUUUUUAUUUUGUGAAUUUUCAAUUGUGAUAUGAAAUUAUCAGCUAUUAAGUAAAAUUGCAUAUUACAACAUGCAUAUUUAUUAAAUACUAUCAACUUUUAAUUUUUCUUUCACAGCAUCACACUAUCAAACGAAACUAACUAUUGUGAUUUUAAUGUCCACCUGAAGCAAAAUAGUUUCAAAUAUAUCCUCUAUAUAUAUAGAGAGAGAGAGUAAAUAUCCUUUUCGCCAUUGCAGGAACCAGGAACUUCUUGCACCGUGGGCGGGGAGUCGAUUACAAAUUCCGACCAAGUUCAUUAUAGGCGACGUGGACCUGGUUUAUCAUAUGCCAGGGGUGAAAGAAUACAUACACAAAGGUGGGUUCAAAAGAGAUGUGCCAUUGUUGGAGGAAGUAGUGAUAAUGGAAGGAGUUGGGCACUUCAUUAAUCAAGAAAAGGGUGAUGAGAUUAGCAAGCACAUUUAUGACUUCUUCAACAAGUUCUGAUUAGUUCUUUGCAUCUUCAUGCAUAUUUCCGCUUGGGUGUCUUUUUAUUUUAAUAAAGUUGCUGUAUUUUAAUAAAGUUGCUGGGAUGUUCUUGUGCCGGCCUGUUCUAGUUUUUGAUUCAUUAUAAACCAAGCUAUUAGUGGCUUCGACUUGUAAUUUCCGUAUUGUUGCAACAAUCAAAUAAUUUAGAGUGCCUUUGGUAUAUAAAGUUAUCUAAUAUAUAGAUAUUGAUAAAAGAAAUAUAUAUAAUUUCACAAACUAGUACAUGUAUUUAUAUAGUGCUAUAUAAAGUCAUCAUAAAAAUUUAAUAUUUGCAUUCUCUUUAAUUUUUUUUUCUCUCAAUAUAAAUUCUAUAAAUAUUGUAUAAUAUAUAAAUCAUUGUCCCAAACAACUAUUACAAAAAAAAAAAAAUUGUUUCAUCAUAAAUUUUUAAUGCAACAUAGCAUGAAUCGUUUAAAAUAUAGAAAUAAUUAUUACUAUGUAGAGUUAAGUUUCGCAAGAUAAUAUCUAGAAAAAAUAAUCACUUAUUAUAAUGUUUAUUUCAUUCUUAUAUAUAAUUUAAUCAAAUUAGGACUAAAUUUUUUUAUAACUAUAUGAAGAUUAUUCUUAUAUAGAGUACUACUUAAUGAAGUUUUACUAUAAAGUAAAAUAUAUGUAAGCCCAUCUUUUUGGUCUUAUUUAAUUUGUAUUAAAGUUUCAAAUGAAAAGAAGAAACGUGAGGACUUUGAUAAUUAUUAUGCAAAUAAAACAAAAAAGUUGAGCCCAAGUUCAAUUUACAAUGGAAGAAUACGAGAAAUAACAAAAAAGUUGUUUUCUACUCUUGUUCACAAAUUGUGCAUUUACUUCUUGCAUUAGAAAAUUGAAAUUAUUAACAAGUUUAUUUCACAAAAUGAGAGUGGGAAUUGAAAUAGUAGGACUUACCCCAAUUUGGGAAUGAAAAUUCUUAGAGGAUGGAAAUUAGGAUUGGAAAAAAGUCCAGACUGGGUCGUAGGCUUAAAGCCAUGGCACGCAGAGGCUGAGCCUGGAUAUGGGCCACAAAAUUUAGAGUCCGCACAGGUUGGGUUAUGUCAUAAGAUGCCUUACAUAACAUUUUUUUUUCAUUUUGUUAUUUUUGCAAAACAGAAAAUGGCUGACCAUAAAAAUACCAAAUACCCUUUAUUCUUUUCUCAAUUUUUCAAUCAACCUCGUAGGGUUAUGAUGAAAUCAAUAGAGGCUUAAUUGUGGGGAUGUCAAUGGCCAAAUCGGGCUAGGGCUAUGAGUCAGGGUCACCUCGAAAAUUUUGUGUACAUUUUGCUUGAAAUGCAGUUGCAGUGGAGUGGACAUCAUAAGUUCAAGCACUUCCUGGCCUUCGGCGUUUUUCAAUAUCAAAGUUUACAUCCAGGAGGCCCGUUAUACCAGCUGUUAUCUUUUGACCAACUUUUACAGGGCCAACGCCCUGUGGAGUGCCUGCACAAACCGAAUCGAUGGUAAUAAGUCAAACUUCAGUUAUUCAUAAAGACUUGCAUACAAAACUGGGAGCUGAUUUUAAGGAUUUGAAUAUGAUUAUGAAAAUUGGAGAGAAGGAUAUCUUACGAAGUGAACACAGUAAAUAACAAUAAUGACACUAAUAACGUAACUUAUACACAGUGACAAUACACCUUCCUAAGCAUAAUAAGCUCUAACAUAUCAGUUAUCAGUAUUUAUACCAAGUAAAAUUGCACUAAUAUUCUUCACCAAAGCAAAAAUGAAAUUUGGUAACAGAUUCCACUAUCAACUGAUAUGCCAGUUUAUGCCAAGGCAUCAUAAUAUCUUGAAGCACCUAGAAAAAUUAACUUAUAAAGUAUGUUAGUGUUUUUAUUUGAAGGAAAAUGAACUGCAAUACCUGUUAAUAUGACAUCUCCUUCAAAAAGUGUCAUAAUUGAACUUAUGUGGCUAAUUAGAUAUGGUAUCUUAAAAAUCAUAUCCUUAGUGGAGCCUUUCUGUCGAAUCUCUCCAUCAACCUGCAGUGAAACACAUUUAAAGUUAAUCCACCCAGUGAAAAACAAAUUUGAAGCUUUGACAAAAGCCAUAAAGAAAUAUGAGAGUAAAGUGUAAUGAUUAUGCACCUUUAACCAUAGUUCCAAGUUGUGAGGGUCAGGCACUGCUGACUUUGGUAGCUGCAAAUAUAUUUUAAACAAGUCAAAAAGGAGUGUAUUUAGUAAACACAUAACAAAAUUGGCAAUAGAAAAUAAAAUUCUCUUCCUCUCUUCUUUUCUACUAGCAGAUACAAGUAAAGGGUGCACCAAGCGGAGGAUAAAUGGUAAACUCUUGUCUGCUUUGAAAGAAAAACACCAAUUUUCUUUUUCAAACUUCGACAAACAAGGUAUAAUCGCUAUUCUCAAGCACAAUUAUUUCCUUCCCAUAGCCUAUCCCAAAGCCACAUUUGGUGCUGUCAAUGGCCUAACAAUAAACUGGUUCAAAAUUAGGCUUUCAAUAUCGGGCCUGAAAAUUGAUUACUGCACAACAUAAUUUCAGCAGAGACAGAAACAUCAAAGUACUUCAAUCAGUUUCUUACGACAGAGCUAAUUGGAGUGAAGGUGUCCUGCCCUUUAACCACUGUCCACGGAAGACAUGCAGACGGACAUAUUGGACAAAAAAUAAAUGACAAGAAAAUGCAGCAUUAUAAAUUGGAUCAAAUAAGAUAACUUAAUGUGCUCAUACACUUAUUGUUUCAUAAUGAAGCACACAAGUAGUAUCCAAUCUUCUGAUUAUAAGUAGGUAUUAUUUCAGUAUACAAUUGAAUAAUACUCGAUCCUCGUGUUAAAAAAACAUAACACAUUACAAAGGAAUAAACCCAUCUUCUCUCAUAGGCAUAAAUUCUCUCCAAAUCGAAAAGAAAAAAAAAAUGUGCUAUUUAAUCGCCAAGACAUUGAUUCGGAACCUGUCUAAUUUCAUUACAAAACUUCCAAUCUGAGUAUUCUUUAAAUAUCUGAAAGAUUAAAAUUUAUCCAAAUAAUAAUCUCAUUAGCUGUUAUUCGAAAAUGUUGGGAUCCGGUCAUAAGAUUAUCCCCUUAGCGAUCCGGUUGUUAUUAUUCCAAUCCUCAAAAUUUCACCCAAAUUUGGUUAAGAAAUUGCUGAUAAGUCAUUUAAGGUGAUGUUUCCCGCUGCACUUUUUCAAUUGCAAGUGGUACGAGAGUAGACAGAUACCGAUCACCAGAGUCUUGGGUCGAGUGACUUAUCUCCUUAACGAAUUCUUCAUGUUCAGGACCUCGAUGCGAACUGAAAUUUUGGUAAAUGAAGCAAAAUCUAAGUUAAAAUGAUCUGCUUUAGAAUUUAAGGUUUCUUCAAAACCAAGGCGGAACGUUAGCCAAAAAUGUGCAUUUCUUUUCCUAAGUUAAAAUGAUUUGCCUCGUUUACUUAUUUAUUAUUGGCUCAAAUAAGCUUGACCAGCAAGCAUGAAGGAAGUUGAACAACAGCCAGUGAAGUAAGUUGUAUCAUCAUCUGGUGAAUCUGUUUUAGCCUGCUGCUGCACACGAGUAAUUUGAUAUGAUAACAAUUUAAAACUGCAAUGCAAUAUGGAAACAGAAGUUUUAAGGGGCACUAACAGCUUGCAUUCGGUAACUUUGUGCUGUUGAUGGCUCAGAGUUCCCACGGCUUCUUCUCUCAUUCACAAGAAGAAGUGCACAUUUUCAUGUAAAGAACAGAAGCAGCACUCCCACAAAAAACGUAAUAGAGAAUUCGAUGACAAUGCCUGAUCCUAGAGCUGUAUUCGCAGGAAAAGGUUAGUGAGCAACAAAUCUGUGAAAUGGAUAGUCAUUAAAAUGACAACUAUCACUUACUAUGAGCUAACUCUGAACUCAUUGGCCUUCUACUGAUCAAGUUUACGGUAGCCUCAGCGAAUAAAGGUAAUGAGAUUUUCUCAGUACAAUCUGAACGGCAACCAUAAUGUCCCAUAUCGUUUAAUUUCACUUUUAAAACAUCAUGUCCUUCACCACUCUAAAUGCAAAGAACAGAUGGCUGAUUCAAGAUCAUUGAUAUUUUCUUUGUGGUGUGCUCUGUGAUUGUGUUUUCCUCCAAAGUUAUACUAUAAACUUCAAAGCGAAAAAACUUACUUGAUAAAAGAGUUGUUGCAUUAUUGUGCCUCGAAACCUAACUACGUUGGCUUUAAUUGUUACAAUAUAUCCAGGGACUUGAAUAAAUGGAGAAUCAUUAACUGGAUCCACAAAAACCAAAACCGCCAAAUCAUUUUUCCCAUUCUUGUUCCUGGCAGAGACUAGAAUUGCGUCCUCACCAUAAAAGUUUUUGUUUCUGAAUUAAAAAAUGAAAAAAACAAGUCACUAGUAAGGUAGGAAUAAUGUAAAGCUUGAAAAGUCCAUAAGAGUAGUAAUUCGGGAGGUAAUACCCGAGAUAUUGAAUUAUAUCGAGUGAGUGAUAAUACUGGCUGUCACUUCCUUUGUCAAUGGAUAGCCCCCAUUCAAAACAAUAUUUGCGCAGAGUACAAGAAUUUUAUAAAUUCCACUCUUUUCAGGAGUAUAAGUAACAUCAAAAGCUCUGGCCUGAACUUUCAGUUUGCCGGAAGACUGGAUUCAAGGGGAAUUUUUUUUUUUUUUUAAAAAAAAGAAGGCAUCACUCAAGAAAAUCUUAUGCAUGACUUCUCAAAGAAAAUAUGUGAAUUUGUUUCUUACUGUGUUAGUUGCGUCAACAGACGGUGAGGGAGCAAUUUCUAUCUGGUCAAUAAUGCCAUUAGUUGGUUCUAUUAAUCUUCCAUUUCUAAAACGAUAGGGCUGAAGUCUGUUAUAAUUAAUUAGUCUUCGAUAUGAUAUUAUAUUAUUGUAUGUAGUCAAAUAAUAACAAUGUAAUAUUAGCUUUAGACUGUUUAUAAGACUUUUAACUUAGAGAUGUUUCGGUGACAUAAUUUAUCAUCACAAACAUUAAUCUGGAUCUGCCGAGCCAUGUCAUGUGGGGGAAUUAAAAAGAGAGAGCAGCACAGCAUACAAGAAAAUAUUCUGAAAUGGUGCCCAAAUUCAACAACUAAUAAACAAGCAAACUUGUAUCUUAUAAUUUUUUUUUUUUUCUUUUAUCUAAGAAGCCUGUGGUGUCUAAUCCACCUUCAAGUACAUACUGUAUUAGCAAUUAACUUAUUCGUAGUGUACUUUGAAAAGUGUAACUGAAUAUGAUCCUAAAAAACAUAAUGAAUUCAAUCAACAGUAUCUCCCCUGCCAUUCAUUUGAGGAGUCUUCAUAUAGUACAGUGCUGUAUGACAUACAGCCUACUUUUUCCACUUGAACAACCGGUAUUUUACCGGUUGUUCUUUCAAUAAUUUUUUAAAAAUCAUUUUUAAUGCAGAAAAAAUAAAAUAAAAUGAAAAAAAUUAAGGAAAUUUAUAAACAUUUAACUUAAAAAAUAUUUGAGUGAGAAAAAUAUUUUUAAUCUAAAUGAAAGUUAAAAAAAAAGGUAAAAUAAUCAUGUCCCAAUACUUUUGGUUAAAUAUCAAUAUAUUAGGUUGAUGUUUCAAAUUAAUUUCACAUGUCUCUAAUUUUGGUUAAACUUUCUCACGAAUAGGUUCAUUUGUUUAUACUUUCCAAUUCACUAGUUUUGUGCUUAAUAUUCCUAUUAAAUUCGUUAGAUACUAAUAUUUUGGGUUAAAUUCCAAGUAGAUUCGUUUCUCGUUAAAAAAGUUUCUAAAUUUGGUUAUUCUUUCUCCCCUUUUGGUUUAUAUGUUUCAACUAUUAUUCCACUGGUUUUGCGUUUAAUAUUCCAACUAACUUGGUAAGAUUCCGGUUGUUUGGGUUAAAUACCCAAAUUAUUUUUUUUUGGUUAGAUUAGUUCCUGAUUUUGGUUAUUUUUUUUCAUUUAUAGGUUCAUAUAUUUCAAUUUAUUAUUCCACCGAUUUUACAUUUGAUAUUCCUACUAAAUUCGUUAAAUGCCAAAAUUUUGGGUUAUGUUCCAAGUAACUUUCAUUUUCCGUUGGAUGAAUUCCUAAUUUUCAUUACACUUUCUCUCUUAUUGGUUCAUGUGUUUCAACUAAUUGUUACUCUAAUUUUGUGUUAAAUAUUUCCAUUAAUUUGGCAAGAUUCCAAUUAUUCCGGUUAGGUACCAGAUUUAUUUUUCAUAAUUUUAUUUUUGGUUAGGUAAGUUCCUAAUUUUGGUUAUACUUUCUCCCUUAUGGGUCUAUAUAUUUCAACUAUUAUUUCACUGAUUUUGCAUUUAAUAUUCCAAUUAACUUAGUAAGAUUCCGGUUGUUUGGGUUAAAUACCCAAAUUAUUAUUUUUGGUUAGAUUAGUUCCUAAUUUUGAUUAAGUUUUUUCAUUUAUAGGUUCAUAUGUUUCAAUUUAUUACUCCACUGAUUUUACGUUUGAUAUUCCUACUAAAUUCGUUAAAUGCCAAAAUUUUGGGUUAUGUUACAAGUAACCUUAAUUUUUCGUUGGAUGAGUUCCUAUUUUUCGUUGCACUUUCUCUCUUAUUGGUUCAAGUGUUUCAACUAAUUGUUACUCUAAUUUUGUGUUGAAUAUUCCCAUUAAUUUGGUAAGAUUCCAAUUAUUUCGGUUAGUUACCAAAUUUAUUUUUCAUAAUUUUAUUUUUGGUUAAAUAAGUCCCUAAUUUUGGUUAUACUUUCUCCCUUAUGGGUACAUAUAUUUCAACUAUUAUUUAACUGAUUUUGCGUUUAAUAUUCUAAUUAACUUGGUAAGAUUCCGGUUGUUUGGGUUAAAUACCCAAAUUAUUUUUUUUGGUUAGAUUAGUUCCUAAUUUUGAUUAAGUUUUUUCAUUUACAGGUUCAUAUGUUUCAACUUAUUAUUCCAUCGAUUUUACGUUUGAUAUUCCUACUAAAUUUGUUAAAUACCAAAAUUUUGGGUUAUGUUCCAAGUAACUUUCAUUUUUCGUUUGAUGAGUUCCUAAUUUCCGUUGCGCUUUCUCUCUUAUUAGUUUAUGUGUUUCAAGUAAUUGUUACUCUAAUUUUGUGUUGAAUAUUCCUAUUAAUUUGGUAAGACUCCAAUUAUUCCGGUUAGGUACCAAAUUUAUUUUUCAUAAUUUUAUUUUUGGUUAGGUAAGUAUCUAAUUUUGGUUAUACUUUCUCCCUUAUGGGUCUAUUUGUUUCAACUAUUAUUCUACUAAUUUUGGUUUGAACCUUCCCAUUAACUUGGCAAUAUUCCAAUUAUUGGGUUAAAUAGUCAAUGUACUCGUAUUACCAAUAACAAUAAUAUUAAUAAGGUGAAUUAUGUUUAACCCCUUACUAUUUUAGUAAAUAUCAACUUACUAUAUAGUACUAAAAAAUCUUUAUUACAACCCUUAAUCUUUUCUAAUAUUUUGUCUAUAAUCUAAGUCCAUUUUUUUUCUAUUUUCUUCACUUGAAUUUGAUUGUGUGUGUGUGUGUGUGUGUGUGUGUGUGUCUAUAUAUAUAUAUAUAUACAUACUUGAGCGAGUAAUCUUUAUACAUAUUUAUUCUCAUUUUAUCAUUUUAAUUAAUUGUUUUUAGUUAUCAAGUAAAUUAAUGCAUUCAUUUUCAGCUUUGACAGUAGAUUAAAAGUAUAUAUAAAGGUGCGUGCAAUUGCUGUGUUUUUCAAAAAAAAAUUAAUUUUUUAAAAGUUUUGACAGCAUAAAUUAUAAAAAAAAUUUAAACUUACAAAAGUUGAAAUUUUCUUAAUUUAUUUGUGUUGAAUUAUCUUUUUUCUCUUUUUGGGGGGAUCAAUUGAAUUGAUAAGAUUUCUUGAACUUGAAUUUAUUUAUACUUAAAUUUUGAUUUUUGUAAAUGUUAUGCCCAUUUUAUCAUUCAAUUAACCAUAUUUAUUUAUCUUUAAACUAAAAUAAAUCAAGAAUUAAGAUUUUUUUGAAUUCGAAUUAAAUUUUUACCACUCUAUUUUCUUUUCAAAUUAGUUUUAGUAAUUUCCAACUACUUCAACAAAAUAUUUAUGUUAUUAAUUAUAAAUAUUAUUAUAUUAUACUUGUAUUAUUACCACUAUUAUUAUUAUUUGUUUUUUAAACUAUUACUACAAUUAUUAUUACUACAAUCAUGAGAUUUUUUAACAAAAUUUUUUCUUACAAUGAGUAUUCUUCCUUUUCAUUUUUAAAUAUGUAUAUAAUUUUUGAUUUAUAAAAUAAGUUCUUCAAUAUAAUUUUCAGAAAUUUGUUAUGCCCAACAAUAUGGUACGAUGAAAAUCUAACAUUAUAGUAAUAUGAUUUUGCAUGUUUAAUUAAUUUAUCUUUUUCAAAUGGUCUUUUUUACUCAUAAAAUUAUUGACAUUUAUUUGCAAAUAAAAUUAUAACGUCCUCCUAAUUUAUCCGAUGCACUUAAAAAUUACUCAAAUCAAGAGUUUCAUUACAAGAAUGAGAACUUCGAUCACUUAAGCAGUUACUUACAAUAGUAACAUAAUGUGAGGCUUAUUGAAAAGUUAAAAUUGUAAAAAGAGUCGACCCUAAAACCACUUUUGUUCAGAAAUUUUUUUACAAACUUGUGAGAAAAUAACUCUUUAAAAACUAUUAAUAUCAAUAAAACAAUCACAAAAUUAAAUCAAUUCACAGCUUCCAAAAGCUAAAUCAAAUGCUAAUAAUUUGAGAUUUAGAUUUCAUGGGUCUCUGCAUAAAAAAAUACAAAAACCAAAUGAAAUUAGAAAAAAAGGCUGCAAAAAAAUAACAAAAAUAUUCAAAUUUCAAAGGUAUGAUCCAAAUUCUUAGGCAGGAUCAAAUAUCUAUUGUUUUGAACAAAAAAAAAUUGAAACUUAAAUAUAAAAUAACACAAAACUAUAUUCUAAUUUUAACAACAUAUUUUUUUGAUGAUUUUUUAACAACAAUAUUCAAAAUAUAAAAAAAAAAAUUUCUCGACUAGGGUUUCUAACAAUGGAAGAAUGAGAGGUAUUUAUAUUUUGAAUCAAAAUUUGGGGAAAAAAUUAAAAAAUUGUAAAUGUACGCGGUAUUAAAACAAAAUUGCUUUUUAUCUUGGCGGUAGUUUUACCCACCUAAAUGAAACCUAAGUACUUAUUGUUUCACCAAAAAAAUAAUAUAAUUUAAUUUAAAAAAUAUAGAUAUAAAAUUUAAGCUUGUUAAUAUUUUUACAUAAUUUUAUAUUUUUAGUUGUUAUAUAAAUUAACUUAAUUUUAAAAAAUAUAGAUAUAAAUGUAAGAUUGAACUAAUUUUGUGAUCAUUGCACACUAUUCAGUAUACAAAUCAUGAACCAUCAAGUGAGUGUAGUGUUACUCAAAUAAUUUGAUUUAAUUUAGAAAUGUAAUUGUCGUGCUUAAAGUAUAUAACUGUAAAAAUAAUUUAAUAUAACAUUAUUCAAUAUUAGUUGCAUUCAAUUUGUAAUUAUCCAUAUUAUGUACCAUUAUAAAUUUGAUUAAUGUUUAGCAAAAAAAAAUUACUAUACCAAAAAAAAUUAAAUAAAGUAAUUAAUUUGACAUAAUUUUGUAUAAAUCAAUUUGCAUAAGAGAUUGUUUGUGAGUUUUAUUUAAAAAUAUGAAAUAUUAGAUGCUUUAUAUUUGUCUAAUAUAUGAUUUUUUUUUUAGAGGGUAUACAAAGAACAUAUAUUAGCCACUAAUAAUAACAACAACAACAACAUUUGAGGGGUAAGUAUGAUUUUGGUAUAAUAAUUAUUCGAUAGUUGGAUAAACAUUACAAUCAUUUUCGUAGUUAGGGAUUUAAGUCCUUAUAUGUGUAUUGUGGUUUGUGGGAUAUUGAGAUUGAUUUCUUCCAAAUAUUUAGGAAUGAAUUGUUUUUAUUAUAUGUUUAGAUACUUGGAUUUUAAUGUGAUUAAAAGUUGAUAAAGUUGUUUUGAUAGUUUUUUAGGCAAAACAUCAUUACAUUUAUAAAGUAAUAUAAAAAUAGUUUAAUUGAUAUAUAAUUUAUUUUUUAAUUAAUAUAUAGUUUAUUGUAAUUUUUUAUAUUAAAAUAUUAUUCUUAUUAGUACUUAAGUUACAUUUUAAAGUAAAAUAUCAUUAAAUUUAUAACGUAAUAUUAAUAAAAUAAAAUAAUUAUUUUUGUUUAAAUAUAUUAAUCUAUUAAUUUUACUUAAUUAUAUUUUUAUUAGUACAUAAGUUAAAUAUAUUAACUAUUUUUUCAUGAAUUAAAAGAAAAAGUAGUAUUUUCUUUUUUUAAGUUGAGGGGGUCUUUGAUAGUUUUCUAACUUUAGAUUGAUUAUCGUAAUAUUUACCUAACAUGAGGGAGCCAUAUGAUAGUUACCAUUUAAUAUUUGCCUCUUUUAAGCAAUUAAAAUGAGAGUACCGGUGGCCGGUUAUUGGUUGUAUUAAUAAAAUAAUAAAAAGCGGCUGUAUGAGAUACAACCGCUGUAUUAUAAGCGGACCCUCAUUUGAGAACUUGUUUUAUCUAAGAAGCCGGUGGUCUAAUCCAAAUCAUACUUGUCUAUCUCGGUACAGCUGCCCGAGAUGGGCCACACUGCAAUGCUUUUCAAAAUUUCUCUGAAAUACUCGUCAAAAAAAAAAAAAAAAAAAAUUUCUCUGAAAUAUAUAGGUGUAUUUUCCGACACUUAAUUAAAUGAGUUUUAAUUCAAUUAAAUGAUGAUGUUACAGCUCACGCCCUAAAAAGUAACGUACAAUCAUAAGGCCACGCCUAUGUUACAACUGUAGUGAGUUACCACACUUUUUGUCUGUUUGCUAGUAAACCGUUGGGUUCAAAUGAAAGUGAUCCAACGAUCAAUAACUUGACACCUGGACAUUAAUGCUUACCGGCUAAUUCGGUUAUGAAAAGUAAUAAAUUCGAGACCAAAAUUGUGGUGCUAGGUAACAACGCUCUGGUUGUGAAUAACGAAAUUAAAGGAAAGAUAAAAAUGCAACAAAACAGUGGUGUCUGGUAACAACCACGGUGUUAACAAGAAUAAGUUAAUCCAAUUCUAGAGAGUAGCAGCAAACUUACCAAAAAAAUUAUCAGAGACAAUUUAUCAAACACCUAUUUUUGUGCUUAAAACUGCAAAUUUGCAAUCUCAUUACAGACCUAAUCUAUCAUUGUCAAAAAAAUCCAUCAAAAUCAUUAAAAAAAAAAAGUCUUCAAAUAUAAAGAGAAUGGAAAAAAAAAAAAUCCGCCUUUUAACAAUAUUGAUAGUCGAUAGCUGCCGACGCUACCAAUUCUAUACCAGCUAUGUUCGCAGGUCGCUGUCACUUCCAUGGCAAGCAUUUUGAUCUAGCUGCCAUCGUCUGGACUUGAAAUUGCAGGUAAUCGCCUUGCUGCCAUCAUGGAGAUGUAUGAACCAUGGCCAAUAGGCAUCAAAUUCAUAAGCAACACCGCCCACAUUCACCAAGUUCAUGCCAAGCCCACCAGCAACCAUUGAUUAAUGGCAAGUUUAGUGUUUUAAAGUCUAGAAUUUUGUAGACACUCUCGGUUUCUUUUACCGUUAAUUCACUACCACCGCCGAUUUGGUUGAGGAAAAUAAAUGUUUCAGAGUUUACAAGGGUAAUUGAUUAACAUUAUUAAAAAAAAAAAUUGAUAGUGUGGCCUUUUUUAAAAUUGAAAUGUAGAAAGUGGUUAAAUCUGUAGAUUCUCAUUAAAAUUGAACCCAAAAUAUAAUUAAAAUAUUAUACAAAUUCAUUAAAUCUUCAACAUAAUUCUAAACCCACAAAAUGAAUUAAUUUAAAAGGAAAAUACCCAUUAUUUGGAGAAGCACUUACUACCGUACCCAUGUAACAAAUCAUCAAAAACCAACUUGGUUUGGACUUUGGACUCUUCAAUUUCAAUUUGACUCCUCCACCAAAGCACCCAACAACAACUCAACAACUAAAUCACUCGUCCUAAUAGCAUAACAAUCCGGCCGCCGGCUGCCUGCACGUGAGAGGCCAUUUUCUUGGUCAUGGUCGGAAUUCUGGAAUUAAUUCUGCGAUCCUCUUGUAUCGAUUUUCAUCUUCUAUGCUGCUCAAGAAGUGAAAAAAGAUGUCGGUUAAACCCUAAUUACAAUCACUUCCGGUUUCAAUUAGCUGAUGUUUGUCAUCCUCUUAUAUUAAUUUUGGUUUACAGUUGCCUGAAGAAGAGCAUCCAUGUCCGUCGAAUCCUGCUUACCCUUAGUUUUACCUGCAAUUAGAUUUAUGUAAAUUAAAGCAACCGGCUAAACCGUUGACCAGUGGUCGUUUAAUUAUCAAACAAUUAUUUGUGGCCGUUAGAUUAAAUAAUAAGGCAUCCAUCGGCUGUACUAAAUACAGACAAAAAGUAUGAUAUGAUACAACUGUUGUAACAGAGCUGAUCCAAUUAUUGAUCUAAUCUACAGUUAUCACCAGCUGUGGUAUCAUAUCGCUGUAGCACUGGACCCCUAUAUAUGAUGCAAUCAUGCAAAACGAUUCUCCUCGAACUCAUCCUAUAAAGUUAUCUUUACCAGCAAUCCAUUCUUGGAUAAUCCGCUUGGAAAGUCUUCCUUUUCAUUCCUAAUUUUUCCUCUCUCUUCUAUCCUCUAACUUUAGUUAGCAACAUAAUAACCAGAAAUCAGAACCUCUAAUUCACUCACAGGCAGUGUUUUUACUUUUGAGGUACUGAAUUAACAUGAAGGGCAUCCAACACAGAACUGUUAAGGUGAAUGGUAUUAACAUGCACAUUGCAGAGAAAGGCCAAGGUCCCGUGAUUCUCUUCCUUCACGGCUUUCCUGAGCUCUGGUACUCUUGGCGCCACCAGAUCACCGCCUUGGCUUCCCUUGGCUACAGAGCCGUGGCUCCGGACUUACGUGGGUUCGGUGACACGGAUGCGCCGCCUGACGUGACCAGCUACACAUGUUUCCACGUGAUUGGAGACCUCGUCGGACUCAUCGACACCGUGGCUCCCAAUGAUGAGAAGGUGUUUGUUGUGGGACAUGAUUGGGGUGCGUUCAUGGCAUGGCUCUUAUGUUUGUUUAGACCUGACAGAGUCAAAGCUUUAGUCAACUUGAGUGUCGUUUUUAAUCCUUUUGGUUCUAUCAACAACGUGAUUGAGGCUCUGAGGGCUUAUUAUGGUGACAAUUACUACAUGUGCAGAUUUCAGGUAACUCGGAUGUCCAUUUCUCAAACGAUAUGCCCGUCUAUUAAAAUUAAUUAAUAUUCCGUGUGUAGUACUUAAAAUUAUUAAGUCAUAUGAUUUAAUUAUAUUGUUAAAUCAUAUAGCUCAAUAAUUUUUUCAAGUUUUAACAAAUUUAGGAGUCUAAAUUUGGAUAUUUGGGAUAUUUUCAUAUAUGAGCAUUGAUCUCGCUCAAGAUAUUGAAUUUAUUAAAAUUCGAAAAAAUUAUUAAAACAUAUGAUUGGAUAUCAUUAUGCUAUUAUAUUAUUAAAUCACAUGGUUUAAUAACUUUUAUAGAUAUUAUACUAUUAAACUGUAUGUCUAAGUAACUUUCUCAAACUUUAAUAAAUUCAGGAUCAAAGAUUAAAAUAUUUGUGUAUGUGUGGGCGCGCUAUAUAUGAUAUUAUAUUAUAUUAUUGUAUGCAGGAGCCUGGAGAGAUUGAAGCAGAGUUUGCGCAGAUUGGUACUGAGACGGUUAUUAAGGAAUUCUUGACAUUUCGGACUCCGGGUCCGAUUAUUUUGCCUAAAGGCAAAGGAUUUGGGCAUCCACCAGAUGCUCCAAUGGCAUUACCCAGUUGGUUGUCUGAGGAAGAUGUUAAGUAUUUCACCGCCAAAUUUGACAAGAAAGGCUUUACUGGAGGAAUCAACUAUUAUAGAAAUAUUAAUCUGUAAUGCUCCCUUAUUCCUCACUCUCUACAUUUGAUACAUAGCUUUUUUAUUUUGUGAACUUUCAAUUGUGAUAUGAAAUUAUCAGCUAUUAAGUAAAAUUGCAUAUUACAACAUGCAUAUUUAUUAAAUACUAUCAACUUUUAAUUUUUCUUUCACAGCAUCACACUAUCAAACGAAACUAACUAUUGUGAUUUUAAUGUCCACCUGAAGCAAAAUAGUUUCAAAUAUAUCCUCUAUAUAUAUAGAGAGAGAGAGUAAAUAUCCUUUUCGCCAUUGCAGGAACCAGGAACUUCUUGCACCGUGGGCGGGGAGUCGAUUACAAAUUCCGACCAAGUUCAUUAUAGGCGACGUGGACCUGGUUUAUCAUAUGCCAGGGGUGAAAGAAUACAUACACAAAGGUGGGUUCAAAAGAGAUGUGCCAUUGUUGGAGGAAGUAGUGAUAAUGGAAGGAGUUGGGCACUUCAUUAAUCAAGAAAAGGGUGAUGAGAUUAGCAAGCACAUUUAUGACUUCUUCAACAAGUUCUGAUUAGUUCUUUGCAUCUUCAUGCAUAUUUCCGCUUGGGUGUCUUUUUAUUUUAAUAAAGUUGCUGUAUUUUAAUAAAGUUGCUGGGAUGUUCUUGUGCCGGC
Molecule: long non-coding RNA, 25892 nt
Filed under: Citrus maxima (pomelo)
Lineage: Eukaryota; Viridiplantae; Streptophyta; Magnoliopsida; Sapindales; Rutaceae
Description: long non-coding RNA (CMAX_LNC003588)
Source: RNAcentral